AAGAUUUUAAUGAUCGAACAGAUCAAAAUUUUAAACUUUUGCAUUUAAAUUUUAUCUUAAUCCAACAUCGAGGUCGCAAACUUUUUUUUUUUUUGGUACUAAAAAAAAAAAUUACG
RNAcentral lists this ribosomal RNA (116 nucleotides) under Deudorix epijarbas menesicles. RNAcentral describes it as "partial 16S ribosomal RNA". Lineage: Eukaryota; Metazoa; Arthropoda; Insecta; Lepidoptera; Lycaenidae. The record is from RNAcentral.